Molecule: long non-coding RNA, 1712 nt
Organism: Drosophila pseudoobscura
Lineage: Eukaryota; Metazoa; Arthropoda; Insecta; Diptera; Drosophilidae
Exons: 2
Source: RefSeq, a predicted model, not a curated record
GAACGGCUCUCGCUGGGAUACACGAAACACGUAGCGGCAGAUGCGCUGGAUAUAUGCAUAAUUUCCGGUACUUGUUUCAGGAAGGUUUUUUAAUUAAUCGGUAUAUACAGUCGUUAUUAUAUUACAUUCCGUUAGAGUCCCGUUUCGCACAUCAGACUUGAGGUUGGAACUAAUUUGAUUACAGGGUCCGAAUUGCUUCCAAGUACGAGUACAAGGCUAAUGUUAUGCAACUUCCUGGUUAUAAAACUGAUGAAAUUAAAGCUCGUGUAAGGAAAUCAAUAAGAGCCCAUUCCCCCGAUUCGAAUGCAUUCUGCUCUGCAUUAAGUCUUAUUUAGCAUUUCUAAAGAGUGUCAUUUGGAAUUGGUUACAUAACUUGUAUGUAAAUGCCACAACCUCCACGUUCAAUGAGUCCGUAUUGAAUAAAUCUACUAGAGAUAUAUUGAAUACUAAACCGAUAUUAUUAUUAUCGCUAGCAGUGGCAGGAGGCAACAGCCAGGACAAAAUAUGGGUAUUAUCGGGGAAUUAAUUAUAUUAUAUACGCUGAUAUUAGUUUCCUAAGGUUACAAAAUGUCAUGGUCAGAUGUUAUACAACUUAAUAAUCUAAUUUUACCAUCGCGCAGCAGCUCGCUUGAGAUUUUUUUUGAAUGUCAACAAUUAUACAAUUUCGGAAUAUUAUAUCCUCCGUUAAAAAAAGAAUUAAUUGUUUUACAUAUCUGAAACAAAAAAAUCCUACAAAAAUCAUUCGCCUAUCGGGAUGACAUCGUGAGGCCCUGUCUUUGCAGACCUAAAAAGCGGCAAGACAACGGACAGGAGUCCUAGAUAAAGCUUACUUUAUGGUUUGAGUGGUCGCUGAUCGAGCACCCUAUUUAUACAGCGUCUUUUUUACCAGGAACAUAUAGGAUUUUUAUUGUCUAUCCAAUUUCUUUAUAAGAAUUUCUAAACGAUGACUGCUCUACCAAUUGGAAUGGGCUUCCUUGAAUAUACUGUUCAGCUUGAAUUGUUGCGCUAGUUGUUUUUAAAUUGUUUAAUACUUUCGUUUUAAUUAUGUAUGCGAAGACUGCUGUUGCCAGAGGGCAGACACGUUGAGUCAUCUGAAACGUGCAUCUUACAUUUAAAGCGACUCCACUUGCGCUGCAUUCGCAUCUGUCAAGUGAUUAUUUCUCUCUUUAAUCUGCUUUACAAGUAAAUAAAUGAUUUUCUUUUCAUUGUAGUACAUUGUCUUUGAUUUAUCAUUCAAUUCGUCUUUUGAUUUUUCCUACAUGUUUGAUUCCCCGGAAAAGCAAGCACUGUAUCGUGUCAUCUGUUUCGAUUCCCAUGACUAGAUGUGGCUACUUUAUAUCAUAUGUUUUUCUUCAGUAAUAGAAAAUUAAAUAACGUAAGGAUCAUUUUAAGACAAGUCCACUAAGGAUUCGUUGAGAAGGGCUUUCAACGAUUUUCUGCGAGAAUAGAAAUUAUAAUGAUCUGAUGUAAUAAUCACGAGUCAUACAUUUUCGUGGGUUGUUAUUCUGAAAACAGGUGAUAUAUAGUAUAUAUCCUCCUUUAAACAACCUGAUUUAUUGCUUUACAUUUCUUUAACUGCAAGAGCCUGUACAUUCGUUUAUGGCGGUGGAUAUGGAGGUUUGGCGUUCGCAGAUACAAGAAGUGGCAAGGCAACGGCCAGAAGCAGUCCUAAGUAGAGCUUCAUUUUGGUUUGUGUGGUCACUGAAUACAAA